GACAGAGGGUGCAAACGUUGCUCGGAAUUACUGGGCGUAAAGCGCGUGUAGGCGGUCACGCAAGUCAGGUGUGAAAGCCCAGGGCUCAACCCUGGAAGUGCACAUGAUACUACGUGGCUGGAGUACUGAAGAGGAGAGCGGAAUUCCCGGUGUAGAGGUGAAAUUCGUAGAUAUCGGGAGGAACACCAGUGGCGAAGGCGGCUCUCUGGGCAGAGUACUGACGCUGAGACGCGAAAGCGUGGGGAGCGAACGAG
This 254-nucleotide ribosomal RNA is filed under the name uncultured bacterium. Its description in RNAcentral is "partial 16S ribosomal RNA". It matches the Rfam family "Bacterial small subunit ribosomal RNA", at positions 524 to 776 of the family's 1533-position model. The record is from RNAcentral.